CCUACGGGGGGCAGCAGUGGGGAAUAUUGGGCAAUGGGCGCAAGCCUGACCCAGCAACGCCGCGUGAAGGAAGAAGGCUUUCGGGUUGUAAACUUCUUUUAAGGGGGAAGAGCAGAAGACGGUACCCCUUGAAUAAGCCACGGCUAACUACGUGCCAGCAGCCGCGGUAAUACGUAGGUGGCAGGCGUUUUCCGGAUUUACUGGGUGUAAAGGGCGUGCAGCCGGGAAGACAAGUCAGAUGGGAAAUCCACGGGCUCAACCCGUGAACUGCAUUUGAAACUGUUUCCCUUGAGUGUCGGAGAGGUAAGCGGAAUGCCUGGUGUAGCGGUGAAAUGCGUAGAUAUAAGGCAGAACACCAGUGGCGAUGGCGGAUUACUGGACGAUAACUGACGGUGAGGCGCGAAAGCGUGGGGAGCAAACAGGAUUAGAUACCCGAGUAGUC
This 442-nucleotide ribosomal RNA is filed under the name uncultured bacterium. RNAcentral describes it as "partial 16S ribosomal RNA". It matches the Rfam family "Bacterial small subunit ribosomal RNA", at positions 338 to 795 of the family's 1533-position model. The record is from RNAcentral.